This 496-nucleotide ribosomal RNA is filed under the name uncultured bacterium. RNAcentral describes it as "partial 16S ribosomal RNA". It matches the Rfam family "Bacterial small subunit ribosomal RNA", at positions 28 to 507 of the family's 1533-position model. The record is from RNAcentral.
GAUGAACGCUGGCGGCGUGCCUAAUACAUGCAAGUCGAGCGAACGGACGAGAAGCUUGCUUUUCUGAUGUUAGCGGCGGACGGGUGAGUAACACGUGGAUAACCUACCUAUAAGACUGGGAUAACUUCGGGAAACCGGAGCUAAUACCGGAUAAUAUUUUGAACCGCAUGGUUCAAAAGUGAAAGACGGUCUUGCUGUCACUUAUAGUGGAUCCGCGCUGCAUUAGCUAGUUGGUAAGGUAACGGCUUACCAAGGCAACGAUGCAUAGCCGACCUGAGAGGGUGAUCGGCCACACUGGAACUGAGACACGGUCCAGACUCCUACGGGAGGCAGCAGUAGGGAAUCUUCCGCAAUGGGCGAAAGCCUGACGGAGCAACGCCGCGUGAGUGAUGAAGGUCUUCGGAUCGUAAAACUCUGUUAUUAGGGAAGAACAUAUGUGUAAGUAACUGUGCACAUCUUGACGGUACCUAAUCAGAAAGCCACGGCUAACUACGUG